Molecule: ribosomal RNA, 168 nt
Filed under: uncultured bacterium
Lineage: Bacteria
Description: partial 16S ribosomal RNA
Rfam family: Bacterial small subunit ribosomal RNA
Source: RNAcentral
CCUACGGGAGGCAGCAGCAAGGAAUUUUCGGCAAUGGGCGCAAGCCUGACCGAGCAACGCCGCGUGGAGGACGACGGCCUUCGGGUUGUAAACUCCUUUUGCGGGGGACGAUUGUGACUGUACCCCGCGAAUCAGGCUCGGCUAACUCUGUGCCAGCAGCCGCGGUAA